AUAUUCACAUGUAGUGAAGGUCGCUUAUAAACGAUCGCGUUAAGUUCAAUUCCUAGCAUGAGUGACAUGAUGCCAUAGUUGCAAGUGCUUUGUCAAUGCUUAUGAUUUUCAUUAAACGUAAUGAUAUUUGAUUGUAUCUCUAUUAUGAUGUCAUGUAGGCAACUUUAGAAGAAUGUUUUGGGUUGUCGAAUGAUGUCAUCCAAUCCAAUAAAACAAGGAAAAUCUGAGAGUUAAUUAGUGAUGUCACGAUUAAUUUGGAGCAUUGUCAUUCAUAAUUCAAUGAAGUAGUAACUGGAAAUCGAGUUAUUUGCAUACAUGUCAUGUGUGGAGAAAAAGCCUCUAGCUAUCCCAUCCAUCAUCUUAUUUCUCAAAUUUGUUUUACAAUAUGUCUAGUUUUUCAUACUUGUUUGUUUGUUUCAACUUCGUCCAAAACUCAAUCCCCCCUUUACUUUAGUGUGUCUAAUUAUUUAUAAUUUGUUUUAAUUCGUGUUUUUAAAUGUUUUUGAUUCAAGUAAAAGUUAAUUUUCGUCCAAAGUCAUUCCUAGUAUCUAGUUUAAGUUUAUUUAGUUGUUUUAAGUUGUUUUGAGUAUUUUAAGUUUGCUUUAAGUCUUGUGAGUCUUGUUAAGUAUUUUGAAGUUUAGUUUUAUGUUUUUGAGUCAGUUUAGAGGUUAUUAGCAAGCCCUCCUAAUCCCCGGUCCAGAACGAUCCCUACUUAUACUUGUACUACAAUUGUCAAAAGAGGGUUAAAUUUGUGUGUUAAGAUAAUUUUCGCAUCACCUAUUAUUACAAUAUAUUUACAACUCAUGCCACAACUCCCUAAUUAAGUCAAUAAAGGUUAUCAUAACUCACCCUAAUUAUGAUGAGCAACAAGCCCCUAUACUAUUAAUACAUUAUACCAACAAAUUUACCUAUAUUUUGUAGAUUAAAUAAUAAGUAUAUUUAUCUGAGAAAUAUUAAUAGUAUGCCUAAUAAGUAUAUUUUUAUGAGAAAUAUCGAUAAUAUGCCUACUAAUAGAGGCUUGGAAUGCAUGAUAAACAUGAAUGAAAUAUUAUACUAAUUUUCCUAUAUUUUGUAGAUUCAUUAAUGUAAAUAAUAAAAUAUACUUGGGUAAAUUACACAAAACUACCUCAACUAUUGGGUCAUUAACAGUUUCAUACCUCGUCUUUAAAAAGUUCAAUGUCAUACCUUAUCUUCGAAUUUGUUGCAAUUUCAUACCUUCCGUCAGUUGUCUGUUAAUUCCUCUGUUAAAUGCUGAUGUGGCUUAAGGCAGGGCCCACUUUCUAUUAAAAAAAUAAUUAAAUAUUAACU
RNAcentral lists this long non-coding RNA (1308 nucleotides) under Malus domestica (apple). RNAcentral describes it as "long non-coding RNA (MDOM_LNC006727)". Lineage: Eukaryota; Viridiplantae; Streptophyta; Magnoliopsida; Rosales; Rosaceae. The record is from RNAcentral.